Molecule: long non-coding RNA, 211 nt
Filed under: Bos taurus (domestic cattle)
Lineage: Eukaryota; Metazoa; Chordata; Mammalia; Artiodactyla; Bovidae
Description: long non-coding RNA NONBTAT000174
Source: RNAcentral
GUAAGUAACACAUUGGAAUAAGAAUCAGUUUGACUAUAAAAUUACAGACUUUCCUUAGGAUAUUCGAGUGCAUCUUUUUAUACAAAAACAUUUCUGAUACUACAUGAAGUUAAAGAAUUAGCUGAAAGCUGUACAUUUGAAAAUCUGAGUAUACUGAAGAAUUAGUAAAUAAUCUGAAAAAGGGUAUAUAUUAUUGCUACUAACUACCAUC